CCUACGGGUGGCAGCAGUGGGGAAUAUUGCACAAUGGGGGAAACCCUGAUGCAGCGACGCCGCGUGAGCGAAGAAGUAUUUCGGUAUGUAAAGCUCUAUCAGCAGGGAAGAAAAUGACGGUACCUGAGUAAGAAGCUCCGGCUAAAUACGUGCCAGCAGCCGCGGUAAUACGUAUGGAGCAAGCGUUAUCCGGAUUUACUGGGCGUAAAGGGAGCGUAGGCGGCCUGCCAAGUCUGAUGUGAAAUACCGGGGCUCAACCCCGGGGCUGCAUUGGAAACUGGCAGGCUGGAGUGCCGGAGAGGCAGGCGGAAUUCCUAGUGUAGCGGUGAAAUGCAUAGAUAUCACGCAGAACUCCGAUUGCGAAGGCAGCAUACCGGCGCUCAACUGACGCUGAGGCACGAAAGCGUGGGGAUCGAACAGGAUUAGAUACCCCUGUAGUC
Molecule: ribosomal RNA, 440 nt
Filed under: uncultured bacterium
Lineage: Bacteria
Description: partial 16S ribosomal RNA
Rfam family: Bacterial small subunit ribosomal RNA
Source: RNAcentral